Molecule: transfer RNA, 87 nt
Filed under: Hirschia sp.
Lineage: Bacteria; Pseudomonadati; Pseudomonadota; Alphaproteobacteria; Hyphomonadales; Hyphomonadaceae
Description: tRNA-Leu
Rfam family: tRNA
About the family: Transfer RNA (tRNA) molecules are approximately 80 nucleotides in length. Their secondary structure includes four short double-helical elements and three loops (D, anti-codon, and T loops). Further hydrogen bonds mediate the characteristic L-shaped molecular structure. tRNAs have two regions of fundamental functional importance: the anti-codon, which is responsible for specific mRNA codon recognition, and the 3' end, to which the tRNAs corresponding amino acid is attached (by aminoacyl-tRNA synthetases). tRNAs cope with the degeneracy of the genetic code in two manners: having more than one tRNA (with a specific anti-codon) for a particular amino acid; and 'wobble' base-pairing, i.e. permitting non-standard base-pairing at the 3rd anti-codon position.
Source: RNAcentral
GCCCAGAUGGCGGAAUUGGUAGACGCGCUGCGUUCAGGUCGCAGUGACUUAACGGUCGUGGAGGUUCGAGUCCUCUUCUGGGCACCA